UACGAACUGUGCGAACGUUAUUCGGAAUCACUGGGCUUACAGGGUGCGUAGGCGGCUAUUCAGGUCAGGUGUGAAAGCCCCCGGCUCAACCGGGGAACUGCGUCUGAUACUGGAUGGCUUGAGUUCGGGAGAGGGAUGUGGAAUUCCAGGUGUAGCGGUGAAAUGCGUAGAUAUCUGGAGGAACACCGGUGGCGAAGGCGGCAUCCUGGACCGGCAUUGACGCUGAGGCGCGAAAGCCAGGGGAGCAAACGGG
This 253-nucleotide ribosomal RNA is filed under the name uncultured bacterium. Its description in RNAcentral is "partial 16S ribosomal RNA". It matches the Rfam family "Bacterial small subunit ribosomal RNA", at positions 524 to 776 of the family's 1533-position model. The record is from RNAcentral.